GUUUUUUCUUUCUGUCGCAUAAUGUUUUUUAAUUUUUUUUAUUUACGUUAAAGCAUGGAACGUAUCAUUUUCACAUUAUAAUUAAUAGCAUGAGACCGUCAUCUCAAUAAUUGUUGCAGAUGUAAGUACUUUGAAAACUAAAAUUAUUAAAACAAAAAUGAUUCUGGUUUUAGGUUACAGCUACAGGUGUUGCUAUUUACAAUAUUGAAUAUAGAAUAUAGAAUAGCGGUUUUUAAACUUUUGGUGCCCACGGACCAUUGACAAAAGACUUUAGAAAUCGCGGACCCCCUUACUACCUUUUUUUUUUUUACAAAAUAUCUCAUUUUAUCAAUAUUUACCGAUAGAGCAGACGCGGACUUCCGACAUGAAUAUCACUCCCCCCCCCCAGGAGGCCGCAGACUUCAGUUUUAAAAACCACUGAUCUAAGUUGUUCUACAGUGUAAUCUUUAUAGUAACAAUUCUGUUAAUACUUCUACAUUUUUAUUUUCAAUCGUAUUUUAUGCGAGGGGGACAUAUGUAGAGCGGCAGUAGUAGUGUACGAUAGUGGCAGAUUUAAAGGGUGGGGGUUGAGGUUACGGAAUAAUUACCCCCUCCCUACGGGCAUUUUUUCAAAAGAUUAUACUCACCGUUGGACUCUUAGAUAAUAAGGGCAACCCUUAUCAUAUUAUCGACUCAAGGUUGACAUCCUGAGUCAUACUAUCGAAUUCCUACAGCAAUUGAAUAAUGCAGUGGUUAUCUCGUUAUCAUAAUUUUAAAAACACGUUUUCGACCAUUUGGAUUUCACAAUGACAACAGACAAACCUAACCUAACGAAUCUUUUAACCAAAAUUCUAAGAAAUUUUAGUGACUAAAUUACCAUUUUCACGUACCUAGUUUAUAGUUUUUAAUUUCUUCGUUAAAUAUUAUAUAGUUUUUAACAAAUUCGUAAUAUAAAUAAUGUUAAUAUUAAAAUAACAUUAAUAAUUACUUGAUAUUUUACUAUUAUUAAUAAUAUACAAGUAGAACCUAAAAAAAUUAUAUUUUAAUGUGUAUGCGAAAGUAUUUUGUAAUUUAAAAAAAAUACAUGUUAUGAAAAGUGAAGUAGGUGUAUAUUUUCUACGUUGUGUUUAAGGUAGCUACAGAUCUGUAAAUUCAAUUAUUAUAUGGCCUAUUCUAAUGUUUAAAAUAGUGUGUCAAUUUCCAGUUAUUUAUAGAUAUUUGACAUUUUUGAGUUUUUUAAGUUUUUAUUAGUUUUUAUGUGGUAAAUUGUUUUCGCCUAGCUAAAAUAUUUAACAAUUUUAUUUGAUUUUCAUCACAAGUUGUAUUUAGAAGUAAAACAAUUGCAUAAUAUUACACUGAUAAUUUUUCUCUGAGGAUUCUGGUAGUUUAAACGAAGAUGAAAAUAAUAAAACAAUUUGCAUUAAUACGUGUAUGGAAUCGUUUUUCAUUAGAAAUAAUUUAUCAAAACAAAUUUGAAUAUUAGUUCUUAAAAUACCAAUUUAUAUGUGUAUAAUAUACUGAUAUUGCAAUCGGUAUUGAUAUCAGCUUCAAAUAUUUAAUUUAUGUUUAGUACAUAAAUACUUUAAUUUAAAAAUUAAACCAAAAACAAAGUAAAAUUUAUAUGGCUAAUAGUUGUUGAUUUAUGUUAAAUACAGAAGAAGAUAUUACUGAAUUUCUUUGUGGAAUUCCCAAGAGUCGUCAACUAUGUUAGGAAUCCAAAAGUCAAUGGAAAUGUGCAUUAACCGUAUUUAUAGUUAUGGUAGACGAUGGAAACAUGAUUUCAUUACUUAUGGCCAAUUGGUCAUAGCUGGAUUGUAUUAUACGGGAUAUGGAGAUUGUGUGCGAUGUGCCUAUUGCAAAAGAGAAUUUAAUAACUGGCGUUUUGGUGAUGAUCCCACUAUGAAACAUAAAAAGUUAUCUCCAGAAUGUCCUUAUUUUAAAUUGAC
This is a non-coding RNA of Cinara cedri, 1925 nucleotides long. Lineage: Eukaryota; Metazoa; Arthropoda; Insecta; Hemiptera; Aphididae. The record is from the annotation of a GenBank genome assembly.